UGGAAUUGUUUGUGAAAAUUUCUUGCAG
This 28-nucleotide non-coding RNA is filed under the name Mus musculus (house mouse). The record is from RNAcentral. Lineage: Eukaryota; Metazoa; Chordata; Mammalia; Rodentia; Muridae.